GUCCACGCCGUAAACGAUGUCUACUAGCAGUUGGGUUCCUUGAGGACUUAGUGGCGCAGCUAACGCAAUAAGUAGACCGCCUGGGGAGUACGGUCGCAAGAUUAAAACUCAAAUGAAUUGACGGGGGCACGCACAAGCGGUGGAGCAUGUGGUUUAAUUAGACGCAACGCGAAGAACCUUACCAGGUCUUGACAUCCAGAGAACUUUCCAGAGAUGGAUUGGUGCCUUCGGGAGCUCUGAGACAGGUGCUGCAUGGCUGUCGU
Molecule: ribosomal RNA, 263 nt
Filed under: uncultured bacterium
Lineage: Bacteria
Description: partial 16S ribosomal RNA
Rfam family: Bacterial small subunit ribosomal RNA
Source: RNAcentral